AGGUGCCACUCCGACAUUGCAGUUCCAGCGCGGUCCACACCCGCCUGACGGCUGCUCGCGACGUUUGAUUGGUG
This 74-nucleotide small RNA is filed under the name Xanthomonas vasicola. Its description in RNAcentral is "sX9". Lineage: Bacteria; Pseudomonadati; Pseudomonadota; Gammaproteobacteria; Lysobacterales; Lysobacteraceae. The record is from RNAcentral.